CUGGCCCUGAAUCAAGGCUGGCAGCUUCCUGACCCUGCUGGUUUCAAGCAGAAGCCUAAAGAGAUGUCUUUCUAUGGUCUGUUGGCCAUUUCCGAACUUGGGCAGGGAAAUGGUCAAUUCAUUAGAAAGAAACAGCU
Small nucleolar RNA from Cavia aperea (Brazilian guinea pig), 137 nucleotides. Lineage: Eukaryota; Metazoa; Chordata; Mammalia; Rodentia; Caviidae. The record is from Ensembl.